This 338-nucleotide non-coding RNA is filed under the name unclassified sequences. Its description in RNAcentral is "throat-1 RNA". It matches the Rfam family "throat-1 RNA". Rfam says of the family: throat and tongue metagenomes. Environment (Human Microbiome Project, throat) The record is from Rfam by way of RNAcentral.
AGCGCUGCCGGCGCUAUAUAAGGGAAAGCAAUUAUAAUAGUUUUGCCUACGGUUUUGAAUAGCCGACGCUAUAAAAUAUUCAUGGUUUACUGAUACAUACCUAUUUUAAAGUACAGUAUUCCAUAAAUGGUAGAAGAUGUUACGACGCCAGUACCGCCGGCGAUUGAAAGCGCGGACGAAUGAGUAACAAAGGGUAAGGUUAAAUCGCCGAAGUUAGAUUUCGGUAACGGCGCAAGUCGUGGGAUUACAUAGGUACAUCGGUAACGAUGUAAUUAGUAGGGCAAUUUGGAUUUAGACGCUAAAUAAUAUGUACGGUAGUAGAAUACCGGCUAUAAAUA